CGACCCCAGGUCAGGCGAGAC
This 21-nucleotide ribosomal RNA is filed under the name Zamia fischeri. Its description in RNAcentral is "partial 26S rRNA". The record is from RNAcentral. RNAcentral also lists the same sequence under 3 other names. Lineage: Eukaryota; Viridiplantae; Streptophyta; Cycadopsida; Cycadales; Zamiaceae.